UAAAAAAAUAAGUCACUAGGUGCAAGUUUGACAGUUUGGCGCAAAAGAAUGACAGAUGUAAACAAACCACUUUUUCUUUUCAUUUCUUCACCGAAUCUUCUGAUUUUUUAGUUUAUUACUUUGGAUGUGAAAUUCUGUUUUACAAAUUAAUUCUUACAGCAAGGCAAGGCGUUUAUUUAUAGAUUACAAACAUUUCAGCAGAAGGAACCACAUAUCUAAAGCUGAACAUUGUGAUUGAGCAAUCUGCCUCUUUUAACAUUAAAGCAUUGAGCAUGCAUAACAAUCAGCUGAUUUCAAACUAACGUUUACAUGGUAGAGUAAAGGGAACCUUCAAAUACUAACCAAAUUUAAUAUUCUGCUGCUUCAAGUUAAGAACAAGGAAAGAACAACAUCAGUUUGCCCUUUUCUGCACUAAUGAUGAUGUGUCAUCAACACACUCUUAAUGGACUUAACCAAAAGAAGUAAUUUAUUCUUCUCAACUGGUGUGUGGAGUUAUAUAUCUUAUUAUUAUUAUAGAGAUGUGGUAUUACAUAAUGUUUGAUUCAACAGUUGCUGUUUGUUAAUAUGUUUAAUUAGAUGUUUGCAUAGAAGCAUGCUGUUCAAUUGUACAUUUUUAUUGUAAUUUUAUUGAAAGGUUUUGUAAGCUUCAUAACAGUUAUAACCUUUAUAUUAACUUGUAAGUGUAAAAUAUUUGGUAUAUUUUUUAAGUAUGUUUUGCUGUUUUAAUGAAUAAACAAUCAUUAAUGGUGUGAAAA
Molecule: long non-coding RNA, 755 nt
Organism: Dalotia coriaria
Lineage: Eukaryota; Metazoa; Arthropoda; Insecta; Coleoptera; Staphylinidae
Exons: 3
Source: RefSeq, a predicted model, not a curated record